This 83-nucleotide transfer RNA is filed under the name Halostagnicola larsenii XH-48. RNAcentral's name for it is "tRNA-Leu (CAA) (tRNA-Leu-CAA-1-1)". It matches the Rfam family "tRNA". Rfam says of the family: Transfer RNA (tRNA) molecules are approximately 80 nucleotides in length. Lineage: Archaea; Methanobacteriati; Methanobacteriota; Halobacteria; Halobacteriales; Natrialbaceae. RNAcentral also lists the same sequence under 1 other name. The record is from Rfam by way of RNAcentral.
GCGAGGGUAGCCAAGCGGCCAACGGCGACGGACUCAAGAUCCGUUCGUGUAGACGUUCGUGGGUUCAAUUCCCUCCCCUCGCA